This 293-nucleotide long non-coding RNA is filed under the name Homo sapiens (human). RNAcentral's name for it is "non-protein coding lnc-STIM2-3:1". Lineage: Eukaryota; Metazoa; Chordata; Mammalia; Primates; Hominidae. The record is from RNAcentral.
CUUCCUUCCUGUUACCUCAGAUAAAAUAUUUAGGAGAAAGGAUUACCGGCAUGACAAUAAGGCUCAUUAUUUUCAGAAGCUUGUAACUAUGCAGGAGAAUUUAUAUGUACUUCUGUGUGAUGAAGAAUUGGAUGCAGUCUCUUUGGAAGCUGUGCACCAACAAAAGAUGAAGAAUAGACAAGCCCACUCUUCAUCAGGUAACAAAUCUGGCAUCUGAUCACAAUUGAUGGCUGGUUUAUCAUCUACAAGGAACCAUGCCAAUAUUGUGUUAAAAGUUUUAACAAAAUUAACUG